Molecule: ribosomal RNA, 484 nt
Filed under: uncultured bacterium
Lineage: Bacteria
Description: partial 16S ribosomal RNA
Rfam family: Bacterial small subunit ribosomal RNA
Source: RNAcentral
AGUGAACGCUGGCGGCGUGCUUAACACAUGCAAGUCGAACGAGAACGGGUUAUAGCUUGCUAUAAUUGUCAGCUAAGUGGCGCACGGGUGAGUGAUGUAUAGGUAAUAUGCCUCUUACUAAGGGAUAACAAAUGGAAACGUUUGCUAAUACCUUAUACUCCUUAUUAACAUAAGUUAAUAAGGGAAAGAUUUAUUGGUAAGAGAUUAGCCUGUAUUGUAUCAGUUAGUUGGUGGGGUAAUGGCUUACCAAGACUAUGACACAUAACUGGUUUGAGAGGAUGAUCAGUCACACUGGAACUGAGACACGGUCCAGACUCCUACGGGAGGCAGCAGUGGGGAAUAUUGCACAAUGGACGAAAGUCUGAUGCAGCAACGCCGCGUGGAGGAUGACACAUUUCGGUGCGUAAACUCCUUUUAUAUGAGAAGAUAAUGACGGUAUUAUAUGAAUAAGCACCGGCUAACUCCGUGCCAGCAGCCGCCGCCG